GGGGAAUGGGAGUGAAAACUCCAACUGAAUCUGUUGGAUGAUAAAUAUGCUUUUAGCUAGUGUACUUAACCAAGCUAAAAUUGCUAAGUUUGAGUUCAAAUUUUAAUGAACAAUUAAAAACAUGCAUAUAAUCCUCAUUAAAUUUGCUCCAAUGUCAUCCCAUCUAGGUAGCCCCGCGCAUUAUAUAUUUGAGCGAAUGAUAUACAAAUUCCGCAAUUAUCCCACGAUUCCUAAGCAUUUCCUUACUGUCGACAUGGAACACCUGCUCGCUUCCUUCCUAUUUCCUUUCACAAUUCUCCUCUUUAUCUUCAUGGUGAUGUUGAGGAUAUGGAGGAAAUCGAAAACCUGCAACUCGACUCUUAAUUUACCACCAGGACCAUGGAAGCUGCCUUUAAUAGGGAGCUUGCACUGUUUAGCUGGGUCAGUGCCACCUCAUCACAUGCUAAGAGACUUGGCCAUGAAAUAUGGACCUCUCAUGCACCUUCAACUUGGUGAAGUUACCAAUAUUGUCAUUUCUUCGCCUGAAACUGCUAAAGAAGUGAUGAAAACCCAUGAUAUCAUAUUUUCUCAGAGACCCUUUAUCCCUUCAGCAAGUCUUUGAGUUAUAAUUCAACAGACAUCGCAUUUUCUCGAUAUGGAGACUAUUGGAGACAGUUGCGAAAGAUUUGCUCGUCUGAGCUACUAACUGCGAGUCGUGUGAGGUCUUUCAGAUCAAUUAGGGAAGAAAAGACUUCAAAAUUCGUUAGAUUCAUUUCUUCUAGGGCUGGAUCCCCAAUAAACUUUAGCAGGAUGAUGGAUUCUUUGACCUUUAGCAUCAUUUCAAGAGCAGCCUUUGGUAAGAGAUGGAAGGGAGAAGAAGCAUUCGUGCCCACUAUCAAGAAACUUUGGGAGAUGUUAAUCUUGCUGAUUUGCACCCUUCCAUCAAAUUCCUCCAAGUGAUCUCGGGGAUGAAGCCCAGACUAAAGAGACUUCAUCAAACGGUAGAUAAGAUAAUCGAGAACAUCGCGAACGAACAUAGAACCAUAAAGGUUAAGGCGAAGUCUGUUGCUGUAGGUGAAGAAGAGGAUCUUGUAGAUGCUCUUUUGAAUAUUCAGGAUAAAGGAGAUCUCGAAUUCCCUCUAACGAUGGAGAAUAUCAAAGCAGUCAUUUUGGUAAGAUUUAUAGGAUAUAUACUCAUAGAUUUCAAUUCAUUACUGACAGAAAAUUAUGUAACGUUGAAUUUCAGGGUAUAUUUAUUGGUGGUAGCGACACAUCUUCUACACCUGUAGAAUGGGCAAUGUCAGAAAUGCUAAGAAACCCAAGAGUGAUGAUAAAGGCACAAGAAGAGGUGAGGCGAAAUUUUUAUGCAAAAGGAAACAUUGACGAAGCAGGCCUCCAACAACUUAAUUACUUAAAAUUGGUUAUCAAAGAAACUCUGAGAUUAUAUCCUCCUGUUCUAUUGUUAGUUCCAAGGGAAUGCAGAGAGAGUUGUAUCAUUAAUGGGUAUCACAUACCUGAAAAACCCAAAGUCAUUGUGAAUGAGUGGGCGAUUGGAAGGGAUCCCAAUUACUGGUCUGAAGCUGAAAGAUUUUAUCCAGAGAGAUUUCUUGAUAAUUCAAUUGAUUAUAAGGGUACCAACUUUGAAUUUAUCCCAUUUGGUGCAGGAAGGAGGAUGUGUCCAGGAAUAUUAUUUGGCAUGGCCAAUGUUGAGCUUCCACUUGCACAAUUUCUAUACCAUUUUGAUUGGGAACUCCCUUGUGGGUUGAAGCCAGAAAAUCUUGACAUGACUGAAGCUUUAAACAUAACGAUGAGAAGGAGAAAUCCUCUCUACGCGAUUCCCAUUCCAUACCUACCGCCACCUGUCAAGUAAAACCUCAAUGGAGAGAUCCCCUCCCUGUAUAUUUUACUUUCUUACCAGCCAAUAAUAAGUAGAUUAAUGUUUAUUUAAUGUUUUACCAUGUUAUUGUUAUGAGUUAUUCUUAAUUUUGUUUUUUGCUUCUCCUCUAUGUUGAGUGAGAAUCGAAUGUAAAUAGAUUAACUUGGCUGGUUCUUUUAUUAUCUUAUUGAUUGGGUUUGUAACGAGAAAAUAUGGAUUUAGCAAUAAUUAUUAUACCGUCAAAAAUAGAAUUAC
This 2110-nucleotide unclassified non-coding RNA is filed under the name Hevea brasiliensis (rubber tree). The record is from RNAcentral. Lineage: Eukaryota; Viridiplantae; Streptophyta; Magnoliopsida; Malpighiales; Euphorbiaceae.